GACGUGAAACCCGACCGCGCCAAUGGUACUACUGCCUAAGCAGUGGAAGAGUAGGUCGCCGCCAGGC
Molecule: ribosomal RNA, 67 nt
Filed under: Sphingomonas sp. BK235
Lineage: Bacteria; Pseudomonadati; Pseudomonadota; Alphaproteobacteria; Sphingomonadales; Sphingomonadaceae
Source: RNAcentral